Molecule: ribosomal RNA, 460 nt
Filed under: uncultured bacterium
Lineage: Bacteria
Description: partial 16S ribosomal RNA
Rfam family: Bacterial small subunit ribosomal RNA
Source: RNAcentral
CCUACGGGUGGCAGCAGUGAGGAAUAUUGGUCAAUGGGCGGAAGCCUGAACCAGCCAAGUAGCGUGCAGGAUGACGGCCCUACGGGUUGUAAACUGCUUUUAUACGGGAAUAACGCGCCUUACGUUUAGGGCUUUGCAUGUACCGUAUGAAUAAGGACCGGCUAAUUCCGUGCCAGCAGCCGAGGUAAUACGGAAGGUCCGGGCGUUAUCCGGGUUGUAUGGGUUUAAAGGGAGCGUAGGCCGCAUGUCAAGCGUGCUGUGAAAUGUCCGGGCUCAACCCGGGCCUUGCAGCGCGAACUGGCGUGCUUGAGUCCGCGGAAAGCAGGCGGAAUUCGUCGUGUAGCGGUGAAAGGCUUAGAUAUGACGAAGAACCCCGAUUGCGAAGGCAGCUUGCUGCAGCGGAACUGACGCUGAUGCUCGAAAGCGCGGGUAUCGAACAGGAUUAGAUACCCGUGUAGUC